RNAcentral lists this long non-coding RNA (1693 nucleotides) under Citrus sinensis (sweet orange). Its description in RNAcentral is "long non-coding RNA (CSIN_LNC005044)". The record is from RNAcentral. Lineage: Eukaryota; Viridiplantae; Streptophyta; Magnoliopsida; Sapindales; Rutaceae.
CAAUAAACUAUAAUGAGUACAAAACUCAGUAAGCAAACUAGUUUUUCUUAUAGAAAAUACAUACAUACUUAUACAUAAUGCAAUGGAUGAUAUGCCAUGAUCUUUUGGAAAUACUGUAAAAUAAAUUCAAAAAAAUCUCUUUCUGUCACUUUCAAACUUUCUCAUUUUCUUUCGAUGAAAUAUGUAUCCUGCAAUGUGGCACUUUGUGCUGUGCGUGGCACUUUGCACCAUGCGUGGCACUUUGCGGCGCUCUGGCCCUCAAGAGGUGGCCCCCGCAUAGUCUCAAGAGGUGGCCCCCACACAACUUCAAGAGGUGGCCCCCAAUGCAAAAUCUCAUAAAACAGAAAUUCCGUUUGCUAAAAUCCACUUUCUCAUUCAUAGAAAACUCAAUGCAUUUUCGUGCUCAUGCCAAUGAACCAUCACACAUACAUAUGCCCAUGUACAUAAUCACGCCCAUUACAUAACAACACAUCACAUAAACACAUGAGCAGAGACAUAUAAAUCCAUAUUCGUACAUAUCAAAAUAGGACAUCCGCCUUGGCCGUACAGCAGAGCUCUCACCAAGAAACACCUCUUUUCUGACAAAUGCAACGUAAUAUGAUCACGUCCUGCUUAAUAACACAAAGCAUAGAGGCUGCUCUAAUACUUUUCUAACUUAGCCAAAGUUGUUGAAGAUAUAAGUACUUUUAAGUGCUCAGUAAUCUUUAUUAAAUUAGCAUGAUUGGACAUAAUUAAAAAAUGAAAAUUGAAUCAUUAUGAUGAUUGAAUUAGGUAGUUUGAUUGGUGUUAUUUUGUCUAAUUAUCAAGGAGAACAUUCAAUUAUAUACAAUAUGUCCUUCCUAUUUUCUCUUUUAAUUAAAUCAUAAAAAGACUUGCAAUAUUGAUUAUGUAUCUGUUAUGUUGGUUAUUGAAGUGAAUUAUAGUUGUUUUCGUGAUUGUCAAAUAUUGUCUUUGUAACUUAUUUAUUUUUUAUUUAUGAAAUCAAUGGGGAUUUUGCUCUUAUUGAUGGAUGUUGCUGGGUACUAAGAACUGAUGGUCGUAUUAAUUAAUCAGUAUAAGUUAGUUGAAAGUUCAAUGUUCAUGCACUUUUGAGCUACAUAAGGCAAGGAAAAUUGAGUGACUUUAUGUGAUGUAAUGUGACACUAUUCAAUUAAGCAACUCUACUUUUUAGUGAUGGACACAAAUGAAACUAGUGGACUUGCAUUAGCUAGAUGAUAAUUAAAAGGCCAAGAUUAUAUCUUUAACACCCCAGUCCGAAAUCCAAGGGCAAAUAUGUCCACAACUCACAUAUGAUUUAAAUAACUCUUUACAAACAAUAAAAUCCGAGCUUCAAAUACAAAAGCCAGCGGAAUAACUUAAAAAUUUAGCCAAACCAUCUACCAUCUUUAACUUGUCACUCAUCACGAAUCAAUCCUGGAUCUACUAUCCUCAAUUUAAAUCCAUCUUCUCACUCAUCGCGAAUCAAUCCUGACUUCUGGAAACUGAAUCACAAUAAACUAUAACGAGUACAAAACCCAGUAAGCAAACUAGUUUUUUUUAUACCAAAAUACAUCCAUACUUAUACAUAAUGCAAUGGAUGAUAUGCCAUGAUCUUUUGGAAAUAUUGUAAAAUAAAUUCAUAAAAAUCUAUUUCUGUCGCUUUCAAACUUUCUCAUUUUCUUUCGAUGAAAUACAUAUCCUGCAAUGUGGCACU